GAUGAACGCUGGCGGCGUGCCUAAUACAUGCCAGUCGAGCGAACGGACGAGAAGCUUGCUUCUCUGAUGUUAGCGGCGGACGGGUGAGUAACACGUGGAUAACCUACCUAUAAGACUGGGAUAACUUCGGGAAACCGGAGCUAAUACCGGAUGAUAUUUUGAACCGCAUGGUUCAAAAGUGAAAGACGGUCUUGCUGUCACUUAUAGAUGGAUCCGCGCUGCAUUAGCUAGUUGGUAAGGUAACGGCUUACCAAGGCAACGAUGCAUAGCCGACCUGAGAGGGUGAUCGGCCACACUGGAACUGAGACACGGUCCAGACUCCUACGGGAGGCAGCAGUAGGGAAUCUUCCGCAAUGGGCGAAAGCCUGACGGAGCAAUGCCGCGUGAGUGAUGAAGGUCUUCGGAUCGUAAAACUCUGUUAUUAGGGAAGAACAUAUGUGUAAGUAACUGUGCACAUCUUGACGGUACCUAAUCAGAAAGCCACGGCUAACUACGUG
This 497-nucleotide ribosomal RNA is filed under the name uncultured bacterium. Its description in RNAcentral is "partial 16S ribosomal RNA". It matches the Rfam family "Bacterial small subunit ribosomal RNA", at positions 28 to 507 of the family's 1533-position model. The record is from RNAcentral.